GACAGCAGUAACACCUUCUGGCUAUAGUCUAUUUUCAUCUUUCUCAUCCUAGUGUUAUCAAGAGAAAAACAGUCUUAGAUGCAACAUAAAAAUUUCAGAGACAGAAGAAAUCUUCCUUUGAGGGCAGGACUGAAAUGCUGUUUUUUUUCCCUGGUACAAUAUUAAAGCUUUAAACUCUUGUCAAUGAUGUGAUGUUUCAUCUGCAAUGAUCUACACUAGAAAAAUAAAAAUGUAGUUACUGACAAAAAAGCAGGAACUACUGCUCUAAGGAAAAAAGGAGAGCUACAUGAGGACCACACAACUCCUGGAAGAGGUUUCCCUGGCAACACAACUUUUCCAUUCAUCUGGUUGCAGUGUUUUCAUCCAGUAGCCUGUCACCUCACUCAAAAGCAGGGCAGAUUUAUAAAGGAAGCUGCUGGAGGGAAUUCAUUCCCUUUUUGCUGUUCUGCCUUCCACCUUUCACUGUGUGAGGACACUGCAAGAAAGCCUUCAUCAGACACCAAUUGCCAGCACCUAGAUCUUGGAAUUCUCAGCCUCCAGAACUGGUCUUGCUCUUUUGCCCAGGCUGGGGUGCAGUGGUGCCAUUACGACUCAAUGCGGUAUCCAAAUCCUGGGCUUAGGCAAUCCUCCUGCCUCAAUCUCCUGAGCGGCUGGGACCAAAGAUAGCACAGGAAUAUCCAGUGGCUGGAGGAAAAAUGGCUGAAAAAACGUUUUUUUCCCUUUGAAUGGAUGGUUUUCACCAAUUUUGAGCAGAUUCUAAGGAAGAGAGAAAC
Non-coding RNA from Chlorocebus sabaeus (green monkey), 773 nucleotides. Lineage: Eukaryota; Metazoa; Chordata; Mammalia; Primates; Cercopithecidae. The record is from RefSeq and is a predicted model, not a curated record.